UCAAUGGUAUACGUGAAACAAUCACAAAACAAAUAGUACUAUAAUUUAAAAGACCCAUUUGCUCUGGACUUAAAAGCAAUUUUAAAGACCGCGAAUUGUUAGAACUUGGAAAAGCCAGAAGAGAGUUAACUGGAAAAGUUACAAAAAAAAUGCUCCAGUACAUAGCACACUAUAACGUCGAUAAAGAUUUCGAAGAUAUUCACCAGAAUUGUCGGCUAAUAAGAUUCCACGCAAGUAUAGUACACCCGGAAUCGUAUGUAAUAAAAAUUAAAUGCUAUGGUGAUCGCAAAUG
Adelges cooleyi (spruce gall adelgid) is the source of this 292-nucleotide long non-coding RNA. RefSeq lists it as uncharacterized. Lineage: Eukaryota; Metazoa; Arthropoda; Insecta; Hemiptera; Adelgidae. The record is from RefSeq and is a predicted model, not a curated record. The transcript is spliced from 3 exons.